UUAUUUUGAAGGCGCCAACCGGAAGACGUGUCAGCCGCUGCGCGCGGCACGCGACGCGGACUCGCCCGCUCCGUCAGUGCUCGCGGCGGCUCGGCACAGGCGGCAGGGAUCGUUUGAAGACGCUGCGCAGCUCUCACGCGCUGCUAUGACAUCUCGCAGGUGGUUCCACCCUAACAUCACCGGCAUCGAGGCAGAGCAGCUCCUGUUGACUCGGGGCGUCCACGGCAGCUUCCUGGCCCGGCCCAGCAAGAGCAACCCAGGGGACUUCACCCUGUCAGUCAGGCGCAACGAUGAGGUGACGCACAUUAAGAUCCAGAACUCGGGCGACUACUAUGACCUGUACGGGGGGGAGAAGUUCGCGACGCUGGCAGAGCUGGUGCAGUAUUACACGGAACAACAGGACCUGCUGCGCGAGCGCAACGGACAUGUCAUAGAGCUCAAGUACCCACUCAACUGCAAGGACCCCACGUCUGAGAGGUGGUACCAUGGGCACCUCUCUGGGCGAGACGCAGAGAAGCUGCUCACAGAGAAGGGCAAGGCCGGCAGCUUCCUGGUACGGGAGAGCCAAAGUAAGCCGGGCGACUUUGUCCUGUCGGUCCUCACCAACGAGGAGAAGCACGAGUACGUGGACCGCAAGACCAAGGUGACGCACGUCAUGAUCCGCUAUCAGCAGGACGGGAAGUACGACGUGGGCGGAGGCGAGCGCUUCGACACGCUGGCCGACCUGGUGGAGCACUACAAGAAGAACCCCAUGGUGGAGAAGAGCGGCAUCGUCGUGCAUCUCAAGCAGCCCUUCAACGCCACGAGGAUCAACGCCGCCAAUAUCGAGAACCGGGUACGAGAGCUCAACAAAGUAGCGGACAACUCGGAGAAGCCCAAACAAGGCUUCUGGGAGGAAUUUGAGGUACUUCAGCAACAAGAGUGCAAACUGCUGUAUCCCCGGAAAGAAGGCCAGAAACCAGAAAACAAGAGUAAAAACCGAUACAAGAAUAUCCUGCCCUUUGACACAACUCGCGUUGAGAUCAGGGAAGCUGAUCCAGAUGUUCUCGGUUCAGAUUACAUCAAUGCUAAUUACAUCAGGAGCAUGCACGAGGAAGGGCGCCACGUGGAGGACGGGAAAGUGUUCAUCGCCACCCAGGGCUGCCUCCAGAACACGGUCAUCGACUUCUGGAAGAUGGUCUAUCAGGAGAACACACACGUGAUCGUAAUGACAACAAAGGAGAUGGAGCGAGGACGGAACAAGUGCGUCCGCUACUGGCCGGACCUCCAUGCCACUAAAGAGUUCGGGAAGGUACUGGUGAGGAACGUGGACGAGCGGUCGGCACAAGAUUAUGUCCUGAGGAAGUUGGAGGUGACCCGUCUGGACCGGCAGAAGGAGCGUCCCAGGUACAUCUGGCACUACCAGUACCUGAGCUGGCCAGAUCACGGGGUGCCCAACGAGCCCGGUGGCGUCCUCUGGUUCCUGGAGGAGGUCAACCGCACCCAGAGCAGCAUUCCAGACACUGGGCCCAUUGUCGUCCACUGCAGUGCAGGCAUCGGCAGAACAGGCACCAUCAUCGUCAUCGACAUUCUCAUCGACAUUAUUGGGCGCCAAGGUCUAGACUGUGACAUCGACAUCCCUAAGACCAUCCAGAGGGUGCGGCAGCAGAGGUCGGGCAUGGUGCAGACGGAGGCCCAGUAUAAGUUCAUCUACAUGGCUGUGCAGCAGUACAUCGACACGGCUCAGAAGAGGCUGGAGGAGGAGCAGAGGAAUAAAAUGAAGGAGAGGGAGUAUUCCAAUAUUAAAUAUCCCCCGAUGACCAACUCAAGGUCCAAACUGAACAUGGCAUCGUCGCGCUCCUCUUCUGUGAUGACGAAUGAUGACUCAUCAAGUGUUUACGAGAACAUAAACUUUAAAAGUCCGCAGACGUCAUUCAGCAGCAACACAAGGAGGUAAAGCCGCUGGAGCUCCGCCUCUCUGCCUGCCCCUUAGACUGCUGUAUUACAGCUGAUCCAUAAACAACACUGCAUGUGUCGCAGCCCACUCAGACUCGGCCCUAAACCCACAGCUUGUGUGGAUGGAAUACGAUUCUAUAAUAAGAAAUACUACAAAUGUGCUGAUAAAACUUUUCCACACUUCAAUUUCUUCCACUGCAGCGCUGUCACUUCAUCGGCGCCUGACGGCCUCCCGCGGGAGGAAGCGGGUGCGCUGAUCCCAGGUCAGCCCUCGCUGUCUGGGCCGAUGGUGGCGAGUCGACCCCUCUGUCGCUGGCUUUUCCUGUCUGGAGCGAAACCUCGGUAGAGAGGAGCACCGUGCAGCAUCGCGCCUGAGCUCAGGGUCUCUGUCCCGCCCUGCCUCUCCUUCCUCCCAGCCUCCAAAGCCUCUCCUGUUCUGAACCAGCACAAGUGCCUUGCCACGGGACGCGUCUCCGUUCCUGCUUUCCAGAUCCUGGAAAACAACCGUUUUUGUUUUUAAUUUCUAUAGGGCGACAGAUACUGAAGCCUGUCCUGCCCUGUGAUGAACUGAACUGAAUGGGACCUAUCGAAGUCGAAGCUUGGCUGUUUGUCCGCUCGUUGCCAGAAAUCACUCUGUUCGUCUCCGCUCGCCUUCGCUUUUACUUCCUCCUGUGUGUCCAGCUGUGGUCAUUAUAUUGAAUUUGGGGGAUGGAAAGUUGUUAUUUAUAAGCAGUAUAAUAAAGAGAGAGAGUUACUUAAUUUAAAUAAAAUAGUAACUGUCGGUGCUUAUGUCACCGGGGAGGAUUCCUGAAUGGGUGUUUGCAGUCAGACGUGGUUUACUGCCCCCUCGCAGCGACCCGUGACCCGUCCUCCUGGUUCAUCGGCAGGUCUGGCGCCGUCCAACAUCCGUCGGAGGAGCCCGUCGCAGCGAGACGAGGGGGAGACGGGCCGAUUACGGCGGGCCAGAUGGCCAUCUGCCCGAAAUUGAAGAAAAGAUUUGUCUCUAAAAAGUAAUUUAGAAGAUGGCUGUAAUCCAGGCUUGAUGAUAGCGAGGCGAGUAAACUGACGUCGUUGAUGCGAUAAGCGAGGCUGCGGAGCACUGAGCCCUCGGCGCUGUCUGGCAGAUUGUCGACUAUUUUUAGCCUGCGGGAUCAGCACCGCCCCAUCGUGCUCGAAUUCAAAAUACACUGGUGAAAUGUGACGUAGCUUGUUUAAAGCGUUAAAGGUGAUUUUUAUUUUUAUUGGUUGCACAAGCUCCGAUCGUCGUGACGCGUUCAGUCCAAAGCAAACAGUCACAGGCUCCACUCUCUUCAGUGGCUGCUGCAGUCUGAGAAUGUUUAAAAUGUGAUAUUAUUCAGUUAGAAUGAAUAGUUAUUGGCCCCCAGCAGUUUCCACAGAGUUUGUGUGAGCAUCUAUGCAUUCUGGCCGUGAGUCGUUCCCAUUGUAAGUUGCUGUCCUGUGUUUUAAUGGUUGAUUCUGAGUCAAAGCUGUUUUAUGAACUGAGUAGUUGCUGGCCUGUGUCCUCGCAGGCCAAAUUUGCUGCGCCACGUGAUCUUUGAACGUCAGGGAGAUUUGAAUCCUCUGGUUUUUCCUUUUCUUUUUUUUCCGUUUGUCAUCCGAACCGUGAUCUUUGUUCGAUGAAUGAGAAAUGACUUCUGCGUAUUGUUUCUGAACUAUAUUGCACUGUGGAUGAUUCAGAAUUAUUAUUAUUUUUUUUGUAUUUCACUUUGCCUAUUUGGGUCAAAUUGUGGAUGAUGUAGUGAAACAUUAAUACUUGAAAGUGUGAAACUGCUGAAUCUCUGGCCUCAGGCUCUUCAGACGUCCACUGGGAGUGGAAUUAUUUUUGUUGGUGCACUAGAUUUUCGCUAUCAGUGUUCUAUUUUAUUGUUUUUUUUCUAGCUCAAUUUUGUUCAAAUUGUACAUUUUUAAUUAAUAAUUUGCAUUGUGUUUUGUCCCAUUAUUAUUGGUGUGACCUCACCAUGGAUGAGCGAUGUGCACAGAGCUGUGCAGCAUGAACAUGAUCACUUCUUUGUGCUUGUCCUUUACAUUUACUUGAACACGUUUGGAUUCGUUGCUCCCGCCGUUUGCAGGACGCCUGCAGUGACUUGUGCUGCAGAGUCCCCUCGUUGCUCAGUGGAGGUUCUCGCCCCUUCUUCUCUUUCUUGCACUGGCUCUGCCUUGUUGCUGUUGAGGCUGCACCUGCUGAUACAAUGAGCUGCCACGAAUGGCAUAAGAAUGGUUUAUUAUAUAGUUUAAUAAAAGGUUAUAACGUUA
Molecule: RNA transcript, 4209 nt
Organism: Betta splendens (Siamese fighting fish)
Lineage: Eukaryota; Metazoa; Chordata; Actinopteri; Anabantiformes; Osphronemidae
Gene: ptpn11b
Gene name: protein tyrosine phosphatase non-receptor type 11b
Exons: 17
Source: RefSeq, a predicted model, not a curated record